CCUACGGGUGGCAGCAGUGGGGAAUCUUGCGCAAUGGACGAAAGUCUGACGCAGCCACGCCGCGUGAGUGAAGAAGGCCUUCGGGUUGUAAAGCUCUGUCGGAGGGGACGAACAUCAUUUAGGUGAAUAGCCUAGGUGACUGACGGUACCCUCAAAGGAAGCACCGGCUAACUUCGUGCCAGCAGCCGCGGUAAUACGAGGGGUGCAAGCGUUGCUCGGAAUUAUUGGGCGUAAAGGGUAGGUAGGUGGUCUCGUUUGUCAGGGGUGAAAGCCUUGGGCUUAACUCAAGAAGUGCCCCUGAAACGGCGAGACUCGAGUUCUGGAGAGGGUCGUGGAAUUCCCGGUGUAGCGGUGAAAUGCGUAGAGAUCGGGAGGAACACCAGAGGCGAAGGCGGCGACCUGGACAGAUACUGACACUCAACUACGAAAGCGUGGGGAGCAAACAGGAUUAGAUACCCCUGUAGUC
Molecule: ribosomal RNA, 466 nt
Filed under: uncultured Myxococcales bacterium
Lineage: Bacteria; Pseudomonadati; Myxococcota; Myxococcia; Myxococcales
Description: bacterial SSU rRNA
Rfam family: Bacterial small subunit ribosomal RNA
Source: RNAcentral